This 92-nucleotide small RNA is filed under the name Flavobacterium sp. 1. RNAcentral's name for it is "Flavo-1 RNA". It matches the Rfam family "Flavo-1 RNA". The record is from RNAcentral. Lineage: Bacteria; Pseudomonadati; Bacteroidota; Flavobacteriia; Flavobacteriales; Flavobacteriaceae.
AGUGAACUUCGUUUGCAGUAGAAAUCCUUUUGUCCCGUCUCGUCCCAAAAGACGAGAGGCACAAAAGAUUGUAACAAAAAGCGGGACUAUAU